CCUCACUUUUGAUGUGGAGGUGUUUUUCAGUCUAAAAUAUGUCUCUUGUAGGCAGAAUAUAGAUGGAUUUUUUUUUAAUCCAUUCUGAUACCCUGUGUCUUUUGAUUGGAGCAUUUAGUCCAUUUACAUUCAGAGUGAUUAUUGAAAGAUACAGAUUUAGUGCCAUUGUGUUGUCUAUAGAGUUGGUGUUUAGGGUGAUGUUAUCCAGUCCUUUGUAGUCUUUGUUGCUUUCAUCUUUGUUUCUCCACUCAGAGAGUCCCCCUUAAAAUUUCUUGCAGGGUUGGUUUAGUGGUUAAGAACUCCUUUACUUUUUGUUUGUCUGGGAAACUCUUUACCUCUUCUUCUGUUCUGAAUGACAGCCUUCCUGGAUAAAGCAUUCUUGGCUGCAUAUUUUUCCUGUUCAGUACAUUGAAUAUUUCCAGCCACUCCCUUCUGGCCUGCCAAAUUUCAGUGGACAGGUCUACUGCUAACCUUAUGUGUCUAUCUUUGUCAGUUAAGGACAUUUUGUCCCUAGCUGCUUUCAGAAUUCUAUCUUUUUUGCAAGUUUCACUGUGAUGUUUUGUGGUGUUGACCCAUUUUUGUUGAUUUUGAGGGGAGUUCUCUGUGCUUCUUAGACUUGAAUGCCUGUUUCUUUCCCAAGAUUAGUGAAGUUCUCAGCUAUAAUUUGUUCUCAGCUAUAAUUAUAAUUUUUAUAAUAACAAAAGGUUAAAUAAACCUUUUGUCCUUUUUUCCCUCUAUUCUUCUUUUGGGACUCCUAUGUUAUUGUUGGGAAAAUAAGUAAAGUUCUGCAUCAUAAGAUGGCCAACAGGACUAACAUAAGCUCUAGUUUCUAGCUUAGAGACUCCUCUUCCAGGUUCUUCCUGCUCUGUUUGCCACGCAAACCACCAUGAAUGCAGAAGAGAUAACACUAUAAAUUACCCCUCCCACUUGUGUUCAGGGCUCAGAUCUCUGGAGAAGGAUCUCCUCUGAGUCUGCUGGUGUAAAAUAAAACACCAAUCCACCAACAUCUCCAAGUGCCACGUGGUUUUUCUGCCAGCGAUCCAGCCUGGUUCCAUAACAUAUUUGGUUCUCUGAUUGGGAAACCCAACUGUGCUGGCCCAUUUUUGCCACCAGUUUGGGAAAAUGGCGAGGCGGUGAAGGAAUAAAGAAUUGCAAUGGAGAAAGUGAGCCCUGCUGGAUUUUUGGCAGUCUCCCACUCGGUCUCCUCAGACCAGCCCCGCUCCGCCAUUCCCACUGGAUUCAAAGAGACUUGGAAGUGAGGACCUGGACCUGAUGUCAGAUACUGGCCCGGAGAAUCCUCUCACCAGGGCCAGCAGCCAGACUGUGCCUCAGACAUCAGGAGAAAACUCCAAAAGCUAGAGGGCUUAGCUAGGAUGAAUAUCACUCAGUUGAUAGAGGUCACCAAUAAAGUUUUCAUGAACAGGUCACCAUUGGAAAUACUGGUUAUUUUACCAAGGCUUUGACUGGAAUGUCAUAUUUGAGAGUGACAUGCAUAGAUUCAGAUAUGACCAGACAGCUUUAAGGAACUUGGGGUGACUUUAUGAAACAUGGAGCCAUAAAGGAAAUGUUGGCCUGAUGCCUUGCUUACAGAGCUCCCAGCAGCCUCACCAGGUGAAUAAAGAAGGUCACUUCCUGGCAGGUGCAAGAACCUAAGGAUACCUUGGGGACCUGGUGAAGAGGAAUUCACCCAAUUCUACAGGUAUUGCAGGCCUGUCCGAUGGCAAGUAUUUGGCAUGGCUUCUGGCCUGGAGAAGCUACUAAAAAGUUCAACCUGGAAAUUCCUUAUAAAAGUUUCCAGCAAA
Long non-coding RNA from Neofelis nebulosa (Clouded leopard), 1802 nucleotides. RefSeq lists it as uncharacterized. The record is from RefSeq and is a predicted model, not a curated record. The transcript is spliced from 3 exons. Lineage: Eukaryota; Metazoa; Chordata; Mammalia; Carnivora; Felidae.